AAGAACUAGCAAGUGUAUAUGCCCUUAUGGCAACCUAAUCUGAGCUGGUAUAUAUAAUUGUUUAUGAAGGCAAGGUAUGUGGCUUUCCCUUGUAUUUAUUGUUUGUUUUUCAAUUAUUCAAGCAUUUAAUGUCGUUUUUAGUUUGAUAAAUAGCGGAAAUUAGUUUAACUAUAGUACAAGUACUGUAUCGAAGUUUAGUACUAGAAAUAGUUCUUCUAUGAAUGGUAUGUAGAGUGCUUAUAGAGUGUAGGAUAUGUUUGUAUGUAGAGUUCUCUGGGUCCUCUAGUGUGGGUGUCAUCAUGUCUUUUAUGGCUUGGAAUGAAAUAAUUUAGGUUUCUUUCGGGGAUUUUUUACUGCCAUAUCCCUUAUCCCAUUUUUGAAAUGUUAUUUCCAAUAUAUCACAUUUUAAAAUUAAAGUCCCAGAAAACCCUAUUUUACACUAUCCACUCGCCCAAUGGAUGGACGAGUUCGUGAUGAAUUUUGCGUGCAGCAG
This 493-nucleotide long non-coding RNA is filed under the name Lathyrus oleraceus (garden pea). RNAcentral's name for it is "Pisum sativum (pea) long non-coding RNA (PSAT_LNC017596)". The record is from RNAcentral. Lineage: Eukaryota; Viridiplantae; Streptophyta; Magnoliopsida; Fabales; Fabaceae.